RNAcentral lists this unclassified non-coding RNA (264 nucleotides) under Hevea brasiliensis (rubber tree). The record is from RNAcentral. Lineage: Eukaryota; Viridiplantae; Streptophyta; Magnoliopsida; Malpighiales; Euphorbiaceae.
UUCUAGUCAUAUAGACGAAGGGGAAGUGAAAACCCGUAAGGGCGCUUUUCGGGAGAAAGUCGAAAAAAAAAAGAGGGGCAUUUGAAAAAUGGGGUCAUGGGUCAAGUCUUGCAACUCGUCCUCCAUUCAUCAUUGGCCUUCGGGAUUCUGUUAAGUACACUUCAUUGGGGAAGAACUUCUUGUGUUUGGAUUAGGAUUGCUUUGUAAGUGCAAUUUACAUUUCUUGAUUUUAAUUUCCAACAAUUUAAAUUUCCUGUUAUCAAC